UACUUUGGGAUAUUGCGCAAUGGCCGCAAGGCUGACGCAGCAACGCCGCGUGGGGGAUGAAGGUUUUCGGAUCGUAAACCCCUGUCGAGAGGGAAGAAAGGUCAAGCUGGAAAUACCGGCUCGACUUGACGGUACCUUUAGAGGAAGUUCCGGCUAACUUCGUGCCAGCAGCCGCGGUAAUACGGGGGGAACAAGCGUUGUUCGGAAUUACUGGGUUUAAAGCGCAUGCAGGCGGGAAGGCAAGUCUGGUCGUGAAAUCCUCCGGCUCAACCGGAGAAUGGCGCUGGAAACUGCCUUUCUAGAGUACGGGAGAGGAAAGUGGAAUUCCAGGUGUAGCGGUGAAAUGCGUAGAUAUCUGGAAGAACACCGGUGGCGAAGGCGGCUUUCUGGUCCGAUACUGACGCUCAUAUGCGAAGGCUAGGGGAGCAAACAGGAUUAGAUACCCUGGUAGUCCUAGCGGUAAACGUUGGGCACUAGGUGUUGGUUUCCGACGAGGAGAUCAGUGCCGCAGCGAAAGCAUUA
RNAcentral lists this ribosomal RNA (522 nucleotides) under uncultured bacterium. Its description in RNAcentral is "bacterial SSU rRNA". It matches the Rfam family "Bacterial small subunit ribosomal RNA", at positions 352 to 862 of the family's 1533-position model. The record is from RNAcentral.